AUGCUUCGCCAUCGCCUCAUAGCUUUGGUUCUGUCCGUCUUGGUGGCUGCUGGAAACACGCAGGCUCCUGUGGAUCAGAAGUGGCUCACACGCAUCGUAGAAGUCAUCAAGGCAGGGUAUCCAUUAGGAGACACCUUCAGUCUUGCUGUGAACAUCCCACAGAACCAAGAUCCAGACAGUCUUCAGCAGGUCCUUCAGGAUGACACAUCCGACAAAGUGGAACAAAGUGUUUCCCAGGGUCAAGUGUACCAAGGUGCACGAGUGGUGGCAGCAACACAGUCUGAGGCGGCAUCACGUGUCCUUGAAAAGAUUCAACCCUUUGUUAAAAGCAGUGAGGGAAACUUCCUCCUCCUCUACUCUGAACAGUCGCCAUGUGGGCCAACGUGUGCCAGCACCAACGAGAACAGUCUCGCCAGCAGUUUUGAUGACAUCGUGCAGAACUGGGAUGGUUAUGCGUUUGUGUUUUCUAAAGUGGUCAGCGAUGCUGCUGCUGACACAUCUCAGCUGAGUGAGUCCUUUAAACAACUGGGCAUUUCCACACUUGGGCUUGAUCACAUUUUUCGUUGUUACCAACCUGGGGACGGAGCUUUUCAAUGCACCAGCUGCUCCUCGGGUGAAGAUGUUACACCCGCAUGUGUUGCAAACACAAAUCAAGAAACAGCUGUUGAAUCAGGUGUGGGCAGUCAAUUAGACGACAAUGUUGCAGGCAUUGGAACAGCCACAAAAGAGCAGACAGCUGGCAAGGUUGCAAAAGGUACAGGACAACAGGGCAAAGGUAAAAAAGGGGGACAGGUUCAAAAAGGCAGCAAAAGUAAGAAAAAAGGGAAAGGUAGGAAGAAAGGCAAAGGUAAGAAGAAAGGCAAAGGUAAGAAAAAAGGGAGAGGUAGGAAAAAGGGGAAAGGUAAGAAAAAGGGUAAAGGUAAGAAAAAAGGUAAAGGUAGGAAAAAAGGUAAAGGUAGGAAAAAAGGUAAAGGUAGGAAAAAAGGCAAAGGCAAAAGAGGGUAAAGGUGGCAGGUAGGGGAUAAACACUGGAAUUAAACCUACGAUGUUGUCAAUUUCUCUUACCUUUGAGUCAAUACCAGCAUCUGUGCAUCACCUGAUAAUAGGCUAAGCUUUAUGUUUCAGUGACUUCCAUGAAAAGACCAAAACUAAAACUGAGAUGCUGCUGACAACCACACAGUUUAAACGUGGUUGGAUGUAGUGUCUGAAUAAAGCUUCACUGUCUUUAUGGGCCA
RNAcentral lists this long non-coding RNA (1235 nucleotides) under Betta splendens (Siamese fighting fish). RNAcentral describes it as "lncRNA (ENSBSLG00000011960.1)". The record is from RNAcentral. Lineage: Eukaryota; Metazoa; Chordata; Actinopteri; Anabantiformes; Osphronemidae.